UUAAGCGACUAAGCGUACACGGUGGAUGCCCUGGCAGUCAGAGGCGAUGAAGGACGUGCUAAUCUGCGAAAAGCGUCGGUAAGGUGAUAUGAACCGUUAUAGCCGGCGAUGUCCGAAUGGGGAAACCCAGUGUGAUUCGUCACACUAUCGUUAACUGAAUACAUAGGUUAACGAGGCGAACCGGGGGAACUGAAACAUCUAAGUACCCCGAGGAAAAGAAAUCAACCGAGAUUCCCCCAGUAGCGGCGAGCGAACGGGGAGCAGCCCAGAGUCUGAAUCAGCUUGUGUGUUAGUGGAACGGUCUGGAAAGUCCGACGGUACAGGGUGAUAGUCCCGUACACCAAAAUGCACAGGCUGUGAACUCGAAGAGUAGGGCGGGACACGUGGUAUCCUGUCUGAAUAUGGGGGGACCAUCCUCCAAGGCUAAAUACUCCUGACUGACCGAUAGUGAACCAGUACCGUGAGGGAAAGGCGAAAAGAACCCCGGCGAGGGGAGUGAAAAAGAACCUGAAACCGUGUACGUACAAGCAGUGGGAGCACCUUCGGGUGUGACUGCGUACCUUUUGUAUAAUGGGUCAGCGACUUAUAUUCUGUAGCAAGGUUAACCGUAUAGGGGAGCCGCAGGGAAACCGAGUCUUAACUGGGCGUUAAGUUGCAGGGUAUAGACCCGAAACCCGGUGAUCUAGCCAUGGGCAGGUUGAAGGUUGGGUAACACUAACUGGAGGACCGAACCGACUAAUGUUGAAAAAUUAGCGGAUGACUUGUGGCUGGGGGUGAAAGGCCAAUCAAACCGGGAGAUAGCUGGUUCUCCCCGAAAGCUAUUUAGGUAGCGCCUCGUGAACUCAUCUUCGGGGGUAGAGCACUGUUUCGGCUAGGGGGUCAUCCCGACUUACCAACCCGAUGCAAACUACGAAUACCGAAGAAUGUUAUCACGGGAGACACACGGCGGGUGCUAACGUCCGUCGUGAAGAGGGAAACAACCCAGACCGCCAGCUAAGGUCCCAAAGUCAUGGUUAAGUGGGAAACGAUGUGGGAAGGCACAGACAGCCAGGAUGUUGGCUUAGAAGCAGCCAUCAUUUAAAGAAAGCGUAAUAGCUCACUGGUCGAGUCGGCCUGCGCGGAAGAUGUAACGGGGCUAAACCAUGCACCGAAGCUGCGGCAGCGACACUAUGUGUUGUUGGGUAGGGGAGCGUUCUGUAAGCCUGCGAAGGUGACCUGUGAGGGUUGCUGGAGGUAUCAGAAGUGCGAAUGCUGACAUAAGUAACGAUAAAGCGGGUGAAAAGCCCGCUCGCCGGAAGACCAAGGGUUCCUGUCCAACGUUAAUCGGGGCAGGGUGAGUCGACCCCUAAGGCGAGGCCGAAAGGCGUAGUCGAUGGGAAACAGGUUAAUAUUCCUGUACUUGGUGUUACUGCGAAGGGGGGACGGAGAAGGCUAUGUUAGCCGGGCGACGGUUGUCCCGGUUUAAGCAUGUAGGCUGGUUAUCCAGGCAAAUCCGGAUAAUCAAGGCUGAGGUGUGAUGACGAGGCACUACGGUGCUGAAGUAACAAAUGCCCUGCUUCCAGGAAAAGCCUCUAAGCAUCAGGUAACAUCAAAUCGUACCCCAAACCGACACAGGUGGUCAGGUAGAGAAUACCAAGGCGCUUGAGAGAACUCGGGUGAAGGAACUAGGCAAAAUGGUGCCGUAACUUCGGGAGAAGGCACGCUGGUGUGUAGGUGAAGUCCCUGCGGAUGGAGCUGAGACCAGUCGAAGAUACCAGCUGGCUGCAACUGUUUAUUAAAAACACAGCACUGUGCAAACACGAAAGUGGACGUAUACGGUGUGACGCCUGCCCGGUGCCGGAAGGUUAAUUGAUGGGGUUAUCCGUAAGGAGAAGCUCUUGAUCGAAGCCCCGGUAAACGGCGGCCGUAACUAUAACGGUCCUAAGGUAGCGAAAUUCCUUGUCGGGUAAGUUCCGACCUGCACGAAUGGCGUAAUGAUGGCCAGGCUGUCUCCACCCGAGACUCAGUGAAAUUGAACUCGCUGUGAAGAUGCAGUGUACCCGCGGCAAGACGGAAAGACCCCGUGAACCUUUACUAUAGCUUGACACUGAACAUUGAGCCUUGAUGUGUAGGAUAGGUGGGAGGCUUUGAAGCGUGGACGCCAGUCUGCGUGGAGCCAACCUUGAAAUACCACCCUUUAAUGUUUGAUGUUCUAACGUUGGCCCCUUAUCGGGGUUGCGGACAGUGUCUGGUGGGUAGUUUGACUGGGGCGGUCUCCUCCCAAAGCGUAACGGAGGAGCACGAAGGUUAGCUAAUCCUGGUCGGACAUCAGGAGGUUAGUGCAAUGGCAUAAGCUAGCUUGACUGCGAGCGUGACGGCGCGAGCAGGUGCGAAAGCAGGUCAUAGUGAUCCGGUGGUUCUGAAUGGAAGGGCCAUCGCUCAACGGAUAAAAGGUACUCCGGGGAUAACAGGCUGAUACCGCCCAAGAGUUCAUAUCGACGGCGGUGUUUGGCACCUCGAUGUCGGCUCAUCACAUCCUGGGGCUGAAGUAGGUCCCAAGGGUAUGGCUGUUCGCCAUUUAAAGUGGUACGCGAGCUGGGUUUAGAACGUCGUGAGACAGUUCGGUCCCUAUCUGCCGUGGGCGCUGGAGAAUUGAGGGGGGCUGCUCCUAGUACGAGAGGACCGGAGUGGACGCAUCACUGGUGUUCGGGUUGUCAUGCCAAUGGCACUGCCCGGUAGCUAAAUGCGGAAGAGAUAAGUGCUGAAAGCAUCUAAGCACGAAACUUGCCCCGAGAUGAGUUCUCCCUGAGACUUUAAGUCUCCUGAAGGAACGUUAAAGACGAUGACGUUGAUAGGCCGGGUGUGUAAGCGCAGCGAUGCGUUGAGCUAACCGGUACUAAUGAACCGUGAGGCUUAACCU
Molecule: ribosomal RNA, 2899 nt
Filed under: Klebsiella quasipneumoniae
Lineage: Bacteria; Pseudomonadati; Pseudomonadota; Gammaproteobacteria; Enterobacterales; Enterobacteriaceae
Description: 23S ribosomal RNA
Rfam family: Bacterial large subunit ribosomal RNA
Source: RNAcentral